AAUAUUUCACAAUGGAGGAAACUCUGAUGCAGCGACGCCGCGUGAACGACGAAGGCCUUCGGGUCGUAAAGUUCUGUCCUUGUGGACGAUAAUGACGGUACCCAAGGAGGAAGCUCAGGCUAACUACGUGCCAUCAGCCGCGGUAAUACGUAGGGGGCGAGCGUUGUCCGGAAUUAUUGGGCGUAAAGGGUUCGCAGGCGGUCUUUUAAGUCAGAUGUUAAAUGCAUAGGCUCAACCUAUGAGUGCAUUUGAAACUGGAAGACUUGAGUUAAGGAGAGGAAAGUGAAAUUCCUAGUGUAGCGGGGAAAGGCGUAGAUAUUAGGAGGAAUACCAGUGGCGAAGGCGACUUUCUGGACUUAAACUGACGCUGAGGAACAAAAGCAUGGGGAGCAAAC
Molecule: ribosomal RNA, 395 nt
Filed under: uncultured bacterium
Lineage: Bacteria
Description: partial 16S ribosomal RNA
Rfam family: Bacterial small subunit ribosomal RNA
Source: RNAcentral